Molecule: ribosomal RNA, 368 nt
Filed under: uncultured eukaryote
Lineage: Eukaryota
Description: partial 18S ribosomal RNA
Rfam family: Eukaryotic small subunit ribosomal RNA
Source: RNAcentral
CAAUAGCGUAUAUUAAAGUUGUUGCAGUUAAAAAGCUCGUAGUUGAACUUCUGGCGGUGUGCAGGUUUGGCUACGGUCAGCCUGCACGGCGUCAUCCGUCUGCAAACCGUGUACAUCCUUUGGUGGUUUGGCGCGGGGAGUAGACAUUUUACUUUGAAAAAAUUAGAGUGUUUCAAGCAGGUUAUUGCCAGAAUACUUUAGCAUGGAAUAAUGGAAUAGGACUCUUGUCCAUUUGGUUGGUUAUUGGACCGGAGUAAUGAUUAAUAGGGACAGUUGGGGGCAUUAGUAUUUAAUUGUCAGAGGUGAAAUUCAUGGAUUUAUUAAAGACUAACUUAUGCGAAAGCAUUUGCCAAGGAUGUUUUCAUUAA